UCAGUGGGGAUCCUCUUCUCCCUUUCAGAUUCCCCUGGUGCCACAUCAACAGAUUACACCACGGGUAACCUCAUCCGACUGGGACUGUCUGCCCUAAUUACGGUUCUUAUGGUGGCUUUCCUGGUGGAAGCCUGGUGGAGCCAGAGGAGGUCUCCAAGUGGGUCCAGCAAUUAAAGUGCCAAUCAUUGUGGAAGAAGCAGAGGAGCAGCCAGCCCAGGACAAGACGCUGACUUCCUUCUUCCUGUGCGCUUCACCUGGGCCCGAUGGCAGGACUGAGUGGACUCACCUAACACAUUUUGGAUGACUUGACAAAUACUUAAAACUUCAGCAUCUGACCGGGUAGCAAGUAGUUUCAUGUGUGGGAACUGUUCUUCCUUGAAAACUGGGGAAAGAUGGGUUCCUAUAGUAUUUAUUAGUGUUUCCCUUCCACUCUAUCUUCUGCUCUUUUCAGCAGUUGGUCAAAUGUUGAAACUACUGUAUUUAUCAUGUCUUUUAAAUUUUAUUUCAUAUAUUCUCAUCAUUUUACCUAAUUUGGGAGAAUUCCAGUCUAUAUUAUAGAAUCAAUUUGCUCUUGAGUUGUCCCCAGUAUUCCCGGUGCUGGUGUAAAAAGUCAUUGAGUAUAUUUUCAUUUUCAAGAUCUGUUGUUUCUUGUUUGAUAUCUUGUUCUUUUUCAUAAAUGCUCAUUUUUAUUUUAGAACUAUUAUCUCCUCUCUCAUAACUCUGGAGAUAGGCUAUGAAAAUCACAUUCUGAUGAUAAUAAAAGUGAUUCUCUGAGACAGAAGUUAUUUGCUUCCCCUGCUCCCUUCACUGUGUUGGGCCCAUCAGAUCAUGGAGGAGUCAGCUCCUCUCUCACCCUCAUUACAGCUGAGUCCCUCUUCUCCUGGCUGCUGCACUG
Molecule: RNA transcript, 895 nt
Organism: Myotis brandtii (Brandt's bat)
Lineage: Eukaryota; Metazoa; Chordata; Mammalia; Chiroptera; Vespertilionidae
Exons: 3
Source: RefSeq, a predicted model, not a curated record